RNAcentral lists this ribosomal RNA (271 nucleotides) under uncultured bacterium. RNAcentral describes it as "partial 16S ribosomal RNA". It matches the Rfam family "Bacterial small subunit ribosomal RNA", at positions 88 to 354 of the family's 1533-position model. The record is from RNAcentral.
CCGGCGACCGGCGCACGGGUGAGUAACACGUAUGCAACCUGGCCGUCACAGGUGGAUAACCGGAAGAAAUUCCGACUAAUACAGCAUAACACUCCUGAGGGACAUCCCUUGGGAGUCAAAGGAGGCAACUCCGGUGACGGAUGGGCAUGCGGCGCAUUAGGUAGUUGGUAGGGUAACGGCCUACCAAGCCGACGAUGCGUAGGGGUUCUGAGAGGAAGGUCCCCCCACAUUGGAACUGAGACACGGUCCAAACUCCUACGGAAGGCAGCAG